CCGCGAAUCGCCCUUCGGGGUGCACCAGGCGCGAAAACUUUACAAUGCUGGCAACAGCGAUAAGGGGACCUCGAGUGCCAGGAUACAAUCUUGGCUGUCGCGAUGCCUAAAAAGCAUUGCAUAGCAAGGGCCGGGCAAGACCGGUGCCAGCCGCCGCGGUAACACCGGCGGCUCGAGUGGUAACCGCUAUUAUUGGGUCUAAAGGGUCUGUAGCCGGCCGGAUAAGUCUUUUGGGAAAUCCAGCUGCUCAACAGUUGGGCUUUCAGAAGAUACUGUUCGGCUCGAGACCGGGAGAGGUGAGAGGUACUUCAGGGGUAGGGGUGAAAUCUUGUAAUCCUUGAAGGACCACCAGUGGCGAAGGCGUCUCACCAGAACGGAUCUGACGGCAAGGGACGAAAGCUAGGGGCACGAACCGGAUUAGAUACCCGGGUAGUCCUAGCCGUAAACGAUACUCGCUAGGUGUCAGCCACGGUGCGACCGUGGUUGGUGCCGUAGGGAAGCCGUGAAGCGAGCCACCUGGGAAGUACGGCCGCAAGGCUGAAACUUAAAGGAAUUGGCGGGGGAGCAC
RNAcentral lists this ribosomal RNA (568 nucleotides) under uncultured archaeon. RNAcentral describes it as "bacterial SSU rRNA". It matches the Rfam family "Archaeal small subunit ribosomal RNA", at positions 311 to 879 of the family's 1478-position model. The record is from RNAcentral.